UUAAUUGAAACCAAAAAGAGGUAUAUCACUGUUAAUGAUAUUAUUGAAUUGAAAUUCCAAUUAGA
RNAcentral lists this transfer RNA (65 nucleotides) under Parantica sita. Its description in RNAcentral is "tRNA-Asn". The record is from RNAcentral. Lineage: Eukaryota; Metazoa; Arthropoda; Insecta; Lepidoptera; Nymphalidae.